RNAcentral lists this ribosomal RNA (497 nucleotides) under uncultured bacterium. Its description in RNAcentral is "partial 16S ribosomal RNA". It matches the Rfam family "Bacterial small subunit ribosomal RNA", at positions 28 to 507 of the family's 1533-position model. The record is from RNAcentral.
GAUGAACGCUGGCGGCGUGCCUAAUACAUGCAAGUCGAGCGAACGUACGAGAAUCUUGCUUCUCUGAUGUUAGCGGCGGACGGGUGAGUAACAUGUGGAUAACCUACCUAUAAGACUGGGAUAACUUCGGGAAACCGUAGCUAAUACCGUAUAAUAUUUUGAACCGCAUGGUUCAAAAGUGAAAGACGGUCUUGCUGUCACUUAUAGAUGGAUCCGCGCUGCAUUAGCUAGUUGGUAAGGUAACGGCUUACCAAGGCAACGAUGCAUAGCCGACCUGAGAGGGUGAUCGGCCACACUGGAACUGAGACACGGUCCAGACUCCUACGGGAGGCAGCAGUAGGGAAUCUUCCGCAAUGGGCGAAAGCCUGACGGAGCAACGCCGCGUGAGUGAUGAAGGUCUUCGGAUCGUAAAACUCUGUUAUUAGGGAAGAACAUAUGUGUAAGUAACUGUGCACAUCUUGACGGUACCUAAUCAGAAAGCCACGGCUAACUACGUG